RNAcentral lists this ribosomal RNA (497 nucleotides) under uncultured bacterium. RNAcentral's name for it is "partial 16S ribosomal RNA". It matches the Rfam family "Bacterial small subunit ribosomal RNA", at positions 28 to 507 of the family's 1533-position model. The record is from RNAcentral.
GAUGAACGCUGGCGGCGUGCCUAAUACAUGCAAGUCGAGCGAACAGACGAGGAGCUUGCUCCUCUGACGUUAGCGGCGGACGGGUGAGUAACACGUGGAUAACCUACCUAUAAGACUGGGAUAACUUCGGGAAACCGGAGCUAAUACCGGAUAAUAUAUUGAACCGCAUUGUUCAAUAGUAAAAGACGGUUUUGCUGUCACUUAUAGAUGGAUCCGCGCCGCAUUAGCUAGUUGGUAAGGUAACGGCUUACAAAGGAAACGGUGCCUAGCCGACCUGAGAGGGUGAUCGGCCACACUGGAACUGAGACACGGCCCAGACUCCUACGGGAGGAAGCAGUAGAGAAUCUUCCGCAAUGGGCGAAAGCCUGACGGAGCAACGCCGCGUGAGUGAUGAAGGUCUUCGGAUCGUAAAACUCUGUUAUUAGGGAAGAACAAAUGUGUAAGUAACUAUGCACGUCUUGACGGUACCUAAUCAGAAAGCCACGGCUAAAUACGUG